CUUUGUACUCGCAGGAGCUGAGCAUCUGCUCAUUUGCGCCUCGGCUGUGAAGGAGGGACUGUUUGAUUCCGUGCAGAUAAACCGAAGUGGAAAGUUGUAAAUCAGUCAGGUUCAGGCUCGAGGUGCUUCUCACAGGAGUUAAAUGAACAGUCGGUUUGGUGUAAUCUGCUGACAGUCCAGACACAAAGACGGCUAUUCCCUCCCAGGCCUUUCCAGUUAAGAGAAUAUAAAGGAUCGGACGGCACCUGAGAACACCACCACAGGAACUCGGACUCAUCGCGGCCUCAUUCAGUCACUUGGUUUAAAUUCAAGUUGAUGCAGAGCUGAGGAGGUUCAGGACAAACCACUGGCUUCUACACUCCCCAGCGCUCUGAGCUUCAUACCAGAGGACAAUCAGCCAUCGGGGAAAACAAACGUUUAGGCCAUUUUAAAAAUGUCAGACAGCUGUCGUCUGCGGCUGACAAUGAAGAGGAGCUCAG
Oreochromis aureus is the source of this 479-nucleotide long non-coding RNA. The record is from Ensembl. NCBI's taxonomy places the organism in Eukaryota, Metazoa, Chordata, Actinopteri, Cichliformes, Cichlidae.